UUUAUUUAAUUAUACUAAGGGCUAAAAGCAAUUUUCUGCAAUGUUACAUUUAAAGAAUAAUUUGCCUAGAUCCCAAUUGAUAAUUGAGCAUGGGCCUUCAUCUAUUAAAAGUUAAAAUAGAUAAAAUUAACAGUGACAUCUGGCUGCAUCAUAUGUUGUCACCACUUGUGCUCCAGAUGUGUAAGGUAACACACCUCCUUUGUAACCGCUCCCUGCAUCUUGUAGAAAUGUCUGAACCUGCAACUCUGUUGUUCUACUGUUUUUGCACCCUGUUCAUCAUGUUACCAUGCAACGUUAGGAAGAAACAUUACUCCUGUCAACAUUGAUAUGCUUACUGCUCGUACAGUCAUGUCGACGGUUUCAUCUUUAUAUUGUAUAGCUUUAGGCAUAUUUUUUAGUUUAAUUUUAAAUUUAAUAUUUUUUUCACCUUGUAUAAUUUUAAGUAUACUUAGACCUGUCGCUAUUACCAACUGAUGAGGGACUAUUUUCCAUUGGAAAAUAGUCCGAAAUGCAUUUUGGAUUUUUACGGUUUUUAUACUUUGUAAUUAUCUUAUUGUACAACCCUAUCUGUUUUAUUAAAUUUUUUACUUUGA
Long non-coding RNA from Centruroides sculpturatus (bark scorpion), 593 nucleotides. RefSeq lists it as uncharacterized. The record is from RefSeq and is a predicted model, not a curated record. The transcript has 2 exons. NCBI's taxonomy places the organism in Eukaryota, Metazoa, Arthropoda, Arachnida, Scorpiones, Buthidae.